This 101-nucleotide transfer-messenger RNA is filed under the name Anaerolineae bacterium CFX7. RNAcentral's name for it is "partial transfer-messenger RNA". It matches the Rfam family "transfer-messenger RNA", at positions 282 to 374 of the family's 374-position model. From Rfam's summary of the family: Bacterial tmRNA, also known as 10Sa RNA or SsrA, is named for its dual tRNA and mRNA-like properties. Lineage: Bacteria; Bacillati; Chloroflexota; Anaerolineae. The record is from RNAcentral.
GGAACAUGCAAAUGUUCGGUUCGACCCAAAGAACGGCUAAGCUUGUAGUCAUUUGUGUACGAACUUUUCGGACGCGAGUUCAAUUCUCGCCAGCUCCACUA